AUGGCCCUGAAUCAAGACUUGUUUUCUGAAGCUGUUUGUUUCAAGCAGGAGCCCAUAGAGAUAUCUCUCUGGCCUCUGUUGGCCAUUUCACAAUUUUAGAAAUGCAGUGGUCAAUUCAUUAGAAAGAAACAACA
Small nucleolar RNA from Cavia porcellus (domestic guinea pig), 134 nucleotides. Lineage: Eukaryota; Metazoa; Chordata; Mammalia; Rodentia; Caviidae. The record is from Ensembl.